AUGAUUGUUUGGUUGUCCUUUUUCAUUUCCUUUUCCUUUUUUUUUUUACCUUACAGCGCCACCAAGUGGCCAGUCGCAGCGCCCUUUUUCUCCGGACCACAGACUGAGCCCGUGCAUAGGCGUGCCAGUUUGGGUGAAGUGAUCUCAUCCCUUUCUGGAGUUAUAGCCAUUUUAGCAACCUGGUCCACACGACCUUCGAACGUUUUGAGGGCCCCACGCCAAGGUGAGUGGAAAUUUCCACUUUUUUUUGGAUGAUUAUUGACAGUCAAACUCCAGAGAAUCUUUCUGUUCCGCUUUUGGUUCGGACUGGGCCAAAUACCUGGUGCUAGUUUGCAAAAGAAGGUUUUCGACGAAAUCCAAAAUAGCCGGAAAAUAUUGUCAGAGUGACGAGCCAGUUUGAGACCUGCCUCUCAUUUGGCUCGAGCCAAGGAUUCCGAUGACAUGAGGCAGGUGGCUCUGCGACAAACCGUUUGGGAGUUACGAGCGAUGCCAUACUUUCCGCCGCAGCAGAGCCACUGCCGGCCCAAUCGGGGCGAGGCUCGGUGACGUUGCAGACGGGGGAGGGUACUACCAUCCCCCAGCGUUUCAGGUGUUUUCAUGUUUGUUUGGUUGUGCCUUUUCAUUUCAUUUUUCCAUUAUAGCCAUUUUAGCCAAUUUAGCAACCUGGUCCACACAACCUUCUAAGGUUUUGAGGGCCCCACGCCAAGGUAAGUGGAAAUUUCCACUUCUUUUUGGAUGAUUAUUGACGGUCAGACUCCAGAGAAUCUUUCCGUGCUGCUUUGGUUCGGACUGGGCCAAAUACCUGGUGCUAGUUUGCAAAAAAAUGUUUUCGACUAAAUCCAAAAUAGCCGAAAAUUUUGGAUUUAUGGACCUGACCUUCUUCAAUCUAACGGACUGUGUGAGUUUUUUUGAGUCUUGGGGUAAGAAAAAGCACAAGCUGUUGGAAGGAUUGUGUUUGCACCCUUUGUUUGCACAGGAUUACUUACCUCUCACAAUCCAUCUGUAAAAUCAUU
Molecule: long non-coding RNA, 1013 nt
Organism: Cyprinus carpio carpio
Lineage: Eukaryota; Metazoa; Chordata; Actinopteri; Cypriniformes; Cyprinidae
Source: Ensembl